Molecule: ribosomal RNA, 497 nt
Filed under: uncultured bacterium
Lineage: Bacteria
Description: partial 16S ribosomal RNA
Rfam family: Bacterial small subunit ribosomal RNA
Source: RNAcentral
GAUGAACGCUGGCGGCGUGCCUAAUACAUGCAAGUCGAGCGAACGGACGAGAAGCUUGCUUCUCUGAUGUUAGCGGCGGACGGGUGAGUAACACGUGGAUAACCUACCUAUAAGACUGGGAUAACUUCGGGAAACCGUAGCUAAUACCGGAUAAUAUUUUGAACCGCAUGGUUCAAAAGUGAAAGACGGUCUUGCUGUCACUUAUAGAUGGAUCCGCGCUGCAUUAGCUAGUUGGUAAGGUAACGGCUUACCAAGGCAACGAUGCAUAGCCGACCUGAGAGGCUGAUAGGCCACACUGGAGCUGAACCACGGUCAAGACUACUACGGGAGGCAGCAGUAGGGAAUCUUCCGCAAUGGGCGAAAGUAUGACGGAGCAACGCCGCGUGAGUGAUGAAGGUCUUCGGAUCGUAAAAAUCUGUUAUUAGGGAAGAACAUAUGUGUCAGUAAAUGUGCACAUCUUGACGGUAACUAAUCAGAAAGCAACGGCUAACUACGUG